This 539-nucleotide long non-coding RNA is filed under the name Pongo abelii (Sumatran orangutan). Its description in RNAcentral is "lincRNA". The record is from RNAcentral. Lineage: Eukaryota; Metazoa; Chordata; Mammalia; Primates; Hominidae.
ACUGUACUCCACUGCUCUCUUUGGAUCCUGCAACUGAAUAUUGCUCCUAAAUGGGAAGCCUGUCUUGCAAGGGGACAACUGCUACAAUAUUGCCAAAAUUAGAAUCCAGAGAAGGUAACAUGGUGCCAUCUCCAAGCCUCUGGCUUGAGAGGUCGGAAAAGAAGCUCUUUCUAAUUGGAAAACAGCCAGCAAAGUUGUUAAUUCUAAAAAAUGAGUAUGUCUCUGGAGUUAAAAAUUUUCUGUAAAGAGCCACAGUGGCUUUGCCUUCUCUAACACACUCCAAGAACUAGUAUCCUUGCCACACCAUCCCAAAGAGAUUAAUGUUAUAUUGGAGUCCUUAGAAAAAAGAACAUAUCAAUCAUAUCCUUCAAUCAGUCUCAGCAAUGAAAAGCUUGAGAGCCCCUUUGCGGGUUUGUCUGAGCUAUCUGAAGAUUUCUGGCCAAUAGUUUGUGAGGGAAUUGGAACACUUCAAUUCUCGUCUGAUACAUUUAAGGAAAGAUACAAGUUCUCCACACUUUGCUUCCAACUGCACAGACAAG